This 711-nucleotide long non-coding RNA is filed under the name Papio anubis (olive baboon). Its description in RNAcentral is "lncRNA (ENSPANG00000045022.1)". The record is from RNAcentral. Lineage: Eukaryota; Metazoa; Chordata; Mammalia; Primates; Cercopithecidae.
GAAAACGGCCUUGAUUCAUAAGGCCGCUCCCAACUUCAAGAUCCUGUCCAACAUUGUCUUCUGAAGGUUGGAGUAUAAAGAGGUGACACAGUCCAAAAGACUAAGGAUAUAAGGUCCCUGUCCUUGGGAAAGGCAGCCUUAGAGAGCAGGCAACUUUCUUUGAGAAGAGGAGGGCGAUCCAGCAACAACAACUGAGCAUUCAAGUCUUAGAAGAAUCCUGGAAAGAUUUAUAAAAUACUGGAUAUUGGUACAUCUAGAAAACAGAACGCUUCAAACACAGUUGGACCUUGCUCUGAUUUUGCAUGGUAGAAGAGAAAGGAUGCAACCAUGUCUGACCAUGUCAGAUAAAGAAUCAAUAGCUGUUCACUUCUGUAAGGUAAGCUAUCAUCUUUGAACCUUCUUGAGCACUUUCACUUAUCUUCAGAAAAUAUAAUCUGACUCAGCUUGUUUCACGGAAAGCACAAGGGAUUUCUUGCCUUUGAGUUAAAUGGAAGCUAGGAUUCUGUAGUCCUUUUUCAUCAAGUGUAUAAGUUUUAGUAGAAGCUUAAUCUAUAAGGAUUUUUUGAUCUGCAGUAAUAGAUUGUAAGCACUAUGCAUUUUUCAGAGAUACUAUAUACAUUGAUUGGGUAUUUAUUUUGUAUAUAACCACCAAUUAUCUAUUUUAACCAUCAACUUUAAUAAUAAUAAUAGCAGUGUGGUCAGCUGAAUAAU